Taeniopygia guttata (zebra finch) is the source of this 1411-nucleotide long non-coding RNA. RefSeq lists it as uncharacterized. The record is from RefSeq and is a predicted model, not a curated record. Lineage: Eukaryota; Metazoa; Chordata; Aves; Passeriformes; Estrildidae.
AGCCGUCCUGUAGUGGUAGACACAAGUUCAGAGCUCCACUUCUCCCCUCUUUAAUUAGGCUGGGGAGAGCCGCGGAGGCGCCUGGUUGAGGCGCAAGCGAGGCGGCCGGGCCGAGCGAAGAGCCACCCUGACCUGGUGAAAAUUAGAAAUACUGCAAUGCAAAGAGAACUGCAGCACCUCUUGAAAGGGAAUUGCCAGAAUUUAAUUGCAUCCUCCUCUUCUUAAACAAGUUUAAAAUAGGCUUUCAUACCUAGAGGCGAUUUUUUGGUUAUUGAGGAAGUGUAUUUGCCUAGAAAAAGCCUUUGUGCUUUUACUCAUCAGGCCCUCAUGAUUGCAGGGUGGAUCUUCCUCCUGGAGUGGCGGUCCUCAUGGACAAAUCCCCCAGCCCAGAACGGUCCCCUGUGCUUUCCCCAUGCCCUUGGCUCCCAGUGGCACUGGCACACCAGGACGGUGUCCCGGGGCUCUGCAGAGGGGGCUCUGGCCCCAGCACAUCCUGCUCCCCAGAAGGCAAGCUGGUGACUGCAGGGAACAGAAACAGCUGUCCAAAACUGCCAGCUCUGCCAGGCUGAUGGCAAAGGAAUUGCUUCAAACAAGGGAAAUUGAUAUGUUGAUAUGUUGCAUUUUUAAAAUGGCCUGUGAUGUUACAUGAUAAGCUGUUUUAGGGCUUGUAGGUCAUUAGCUCAGCGCAUCUGAAAAAAUAAUAUCUGAAGACAGACUUCUAAAGGAUUCACUUUAAAUAGCUUAUUCUGUGAGAAUGAAAAAACAUCAAACCAAAACUAUUGCUGAACACUCCUGUUUCUUUCGCACUGCAGAAGUGUCAGUGUGCAAGAUGGGAAAUCAUGCCCACUGGGACAGUAGAUAUUUUGAAUCUGUGUUUUUUUGCAAGAUGGAAGAAAACAAAGCAGCUGCCCACAAGGUUUCAUCUUGCUCUGAGUCCCAUGGCAACUCCACCAGUGAAGAGGGGAGAUUUAUUUGGCCCAUUGCUUAGCAGUACCUUGCAAAGUAUACAUGGAGGUAUCAGUCAUCUUCUUGGUCUAAAUACUAAUGAAAUUUAGCCACCUUUUGGAUGGCCCACCUUAUAUAUUUUUUCACUUUCUUUCUUCUUUUUCCUUCUAAAUUUAAAAGGAACUUUGAUUUUUUUUAGUGUUUACAUUCAAUAUUUAUCUCCAUUAAGAUGGUAUUGAUAUAAUUUUGCGUGCAUGUUGUUCUAAAGUCACUGAAAACAGUGGUAAAGAGCACUGAAGAACAUUGUUUGCCAUGAAUCUGAAAAUUUAUAAACAUUAAUAUAUUUGUUUAAUAUAAGAAAAUGAAUAGGCAGGACACAUUUUGUUGCACAGUUCUGAAAUUUGUCUCUUUGUCUAAUGCCAAUGUAAAAAAUAAAAGGGUUUUAAGCUAUGCAAAGUUUAAGCUA